Long non-coding RNA from Phasianus colchicus (ring-necked pheasant), 1629 nucleotides. NCBI's taxonomy places the organism in Eukaryota, Metazoa, Chordata, Aves, Galliformes, Phasianidae. The record is from Ensembl.
GGGGUCGAAGGUGGAUUUGGAGGUCAAAGGUCAACUCUGCGGGGUCAAAGGUCAUCGUUGGGGGGUCAAAGGUCAAAGAUUGGAGGGUCAAAGGUCAGAUUUUGGGGUCAAAGGUCAAAGUUGGGGGUCAGAGGUCAACGCUGGGGUCAAAGUUCGUCGCUUGGGGGUCGGAGGUCCCACAUUUGGGGUCAAAGGUCACAGAUUGGGGUCAAGGUGACAGAUUGAAGGUCAAAGGUCAACGUUGGGGUCCAAAGUUCCACAUUUGGGGUCAGAGGUCACGAUUCGGGGGUCAAAGGUCAACAUUGGGGUCAAAGGUUGGGUGGGAAAGUCAUCAUUCUGGGGGUCAAAGGUCAACAUUUUGGGGUUCAAGUCCAAAAUUUGGGGUCAGAGGUCACGGAUUGGGGUCAAAGGUCGCCGUAUUUUGGGUGGGGUCAUCACCUGGGGGUCAAAGGUCAAGAUUGAGGGUAAAAGGUCACAUUUUGAGGGGUCAAAGGUCACAGGUCCGGCUCGCAUGGACAUUUUGGGGUCAGAGGUCACGGAUUCGAGGUCAAAGGUCACUGAUUACGGCAGCAAAGGAUGCGGACGUGGGGUCAAAGGUCAGCGAUUCCGGCACCAAAGCUCCGAAGUAAAGCGAUUUUCUCCGAUCGCCGUCUUGCCGACCGGAAGCGUUCCGAAGAGACCGGAAGUAGUCAGAACCGCCGCACGAAGGGAGCCGAAAGGACACGAAGGGGUUUCAUAACACCGAAGGCUCAGCGAAGAUUUCCGAAUUGAGUCGAACGGUUCCGAAAGGAGGCGAAGCGUCCCGAUCUGUUCCCGAAGUGUUCCGAGAAGACCGGAAGUGCUCUGAAAUGCUCGCAGCUGACCCGAAGUAUUCCGAAGUUUUCCGAAGGAACAGGAAGUGCUCGAAACAGUUCCGAAUUGCUCCGAACAGUUCCGAACGCUUCCGAUGUGCUCCGAAGUGACCGGAAGUGCUCCGUAGAGACCGGAAAUGCUCCGAAGAGUUCCGAAAUGAUCCGAACCGCUCUGAAGUCCCCGGAUGUCUUCCGAAAUGACCGGAAGUGCCUCCAGAUGAUACCGAAGUGAGCCGAAGAAAUCCGAUAAGACCGGAAGUGCCCGAAAACCCACCGGAAAUGCAUCGAAAAGAUCGGAACUGAACCGAGGUAUUCCGAAAAGACCGGAAGUGCUAUGCAGGGACCGGAAGUACUCCGAAGAGUUCCGAAGUGAUCCGAAUCGCUCUGAAGUCCCCGGAUGUCUUCCGAAAUGACCGGAAGUGCCUCCAGAUGAUAACGAAGUGAGCCGAACAAAUCCGAAAAGACCGGAAGUGCCCCAAAGCCCACCGGAAAUGCAUCCAAAUGAUCGGAACUGAGCCGAGGUAUUCCGAAAAGACCGGAAGUGCUACUUAGUGACCGGAAGUACUCCGAAAAGUUCCGAAGUGAUCCGAAUCGGUCUAAAGUCCCCGGAUGUCUUCCGAAAUGACCGGAAGUGCCUCCAGAUGAUACCGAAGUGAGCCGAACAAAUCCGAAACGACCGGAAGUGCCCGAAAACCCACCGGAAGUGCAUCGAAAUGAUCGGAACUGACCCGAGUAAUUCCGAAGAGACCGGAAGGGCAUCGUAGGAACCGAAAGUGCU